GUGUUUUCCCGCGCACCGUGAAUCCAUGAGCCUGCGGUCUGAAUCGAGUGCAAUGGGAUAAAAAUACCGUGCGCCUCAAAAUAAAGAUCCAGACCACUAUAUGAACUGUUGCUGGAGAACAUGCUGGACGCUCUGGUCUGGUCUGAACAUGGGUUUGAAACAACAUGACGGGGACAUAUGGGACAGAACAGGGAUGGGUGUGAAUAUCCCGUGACCCCUAACGGAUCAGGGGCAUACUGAAAGACGGCCUUGAACUGUAAGGAGCUAAUCCUGUUUGGCUGGCCUGCUGACGGCCUCCUCACCGGGACACGGUCCUGCUCUCAUCCUGGUGCUUCACAUGCUAAUCAAACUAAUGAUGAGCAACCAGAGACCUGCUCACAAUGCUGGCAGGAUACCAGUGGAACAUGCACACAUUAUAUUAACCAUCAAGCAAUAGUAAAAACAGACAAUCUAAUAAAACAAAUGUAUAGCAAUCUUUA
This is a long non-coding RNA of Onychostoma macrolepis, 479 nucleotides long. RefSeq lists it as uncharacterized. Lineage: Eukaryota; Metazoa; Chordata; Actinopteri; Cypriniformes; Cyprinidae. The record is from RefSeq and is a predicted model, not a curated record. The transcript has 3 exons.